UGAAUAUUCUCAGGCGCUUGAGAGAACUCGGGUGAAGGAACUCGGCAAAUUGACACCGUAACUUCGGAAGAAGGUGUGCCCCGGUAGGUUGUAGGCGUACAGCCGAAGGCCGAUGGGGUUGCAGUGAAAUGGUGGCUGCGACUGUUUAACAAAAACACAGCACUCUGCAAACACGUCAAGUGGACGUAUAGGGUGUGACGCCUGCCCGGUGCCGGAAGGUUAAGUGAUGGGGUGCAAGCUCUUGAUCGAAGCCCCGGUAAACGGCGGCCGUAACGAUAACGGUCCUAAGGUAGCGAAAUUCCUUGUCGGGUAAGUUCCGACCUGCACGAAUGGCGUAACGAUGGCCACACUGUCUCCACCCGAGACUCAGCGAAGUUGAAGUGUUUGUGAUGAUGCAAUCUCCCCGCUGCUAGACGGAAAGACCCCGUGCACCUUUACUACAACUUUGCAUUGGACUUUGAUGAGGUCUGUGUAGGAUAGCUGGGAGGCUUUGAAACCGGGCCGCUAGGUUCGGUGGAGCCGCCGUUGAAAUACCAGCCUGGCGUCAUCGAGGUUCUAACCUUGACCCGUGAAUCCGGGUCGGGGACCGUGCAUGGUGGGUAGUUUGACUGGGGCGGUCUCCUCCCAAAGAGUAACGGAGGAGUGCGAAGGUACGCUUAGCGCGGUCGGCUAUCGCGCUGAAAGUGCAAUGGCAAAAGCGUGCUUAACUGCGAGACUGACAAGUCGAGCAGGUGCGAAAGCAGGUCAUAGUGAUCCGGUGGUUCUGCAUGGAAGGGCCAUCGCUCAACGGACAAAAGGUACGCCGGGGAUAACAGGCUGAUUCCUCCCAAGAGUUCAUAUCGACGGGGGAGUUUGGCACCUCGAUGUCGGCUCAUCACAUCCUGGGGCUGAAGCCAGUCCCAAGGGUAUGGCUGUUCGCCAUUUAAAGUGGUACGUGAGCUGGGUUCAAAACGUCGUGAGACAGUUUGGUCCCUAUCUGCAGUGGGCGUUGGAAGUUUGAAGGGGGCUGCUCCUAGUACGAGAGGACCGGAGUGGACGCACCUCUGGUGUACCGGUUGUCACGCCAGUGGCAUCGCCGGGUAGCUAUGUGCGGAAGAGAUAACCGCUGAAAGCAUCUAAGCGGGAAACUCGCCUUAAGAUGAGACUUCCCGGGGACUUGAUCCCCCUGAAGGGUCGCGGAAGACCACCGCGUUGAUAGGCCGGGUGUGUACGAGGAGUAAUCCUCUCAGCUAACCGGUACUAAUUGCCCGUGCGGCUUGAUCCU
RNAcentral lists this ribosomal RNA (1264 nucleotides) under metagenome. RNAcentral's name for it is "bacterial LSU rRNA". It matches the Rfam family "Bacterial large subunit ribosomal RNA", at positions 1673 to 2925 of the family's 2925-position model. The record is from RNAcentral.